CUCAUAAAGUACGUCGUAGUCCGGAUUGGAGUCUGCAACUCGACUCCAUGAAGUCGGAAUCGCUAGUAAUCGUAGAUCAGAAUGCUACGGUGAAUACGUUCCCGGGCCUUGUACACACCGCCCGUCACACCAUGGGAGUGGGUUGCAAAAGAAGUAGGUAGCUUAACCUUCGGGAGGGCGCUUACCACUUUGUGAUUCAUGACUGGGGUGAAGUCGUAACAAGGUAACCGUAGGGGAACCUGCGGUUGGAUCACCUCCUUA
This 261-nucleotide ribosomal RNA is filed under the name Providencia rettgeri. RNAcentral's name for it is "partial 16S ribosomal RNA". It matches the Rfam family "Bacterial small subunit ribosomal RNA", at positions 1273 to 1533 of the family's 1533-position model. Lineage: Bacteria; Pseudomonadati; Pseudomonadota; Gammaproteobacteria; Enterobacterales; Morganellaceae. The record is from RNAcentral.